GUGUAAUAAUUUAUUUACAACUAUUGACGGUUCGUGCAAGGUCAGAUGUCCUUGAUCUGUAAUAGCUGGGUAGUUCACGUUCAGAGUAGUUCACUACCGAGUUGUACUUCAGUGCAUGUGUUGCAGCGCUGUGAUCCAUCUCUCUUGGAUCCCUGUGGAGAGUCGUAUCAGCUAGAUUGUUCUGAAGCAGCCAGGAUGGUCCUCUACCUCAUGGAUAGUCGCCGGGUCAAGAAGGUUUUGUGGCGUCAGCUGCGUGUUCUUGGCUCCAUAUUGUCUUCCCUGGAAGGUUUGGAACCCGCCCGGCAACUCGUCACUCAGCCCUACCUCUCUCAACCUGAGGGUGGAGCUCACGGCAGGUGGAAGGCUCUGAAAGUGUGUAGCAGGGAAAACGUGGAGGAGACGGAGACUCUGCUCAGAUCACUGCAGGAGAAAGUCCAACAGAUCCACAAGAGGCGGCAAACACUUGCAGAGCUGAUCCAACAGCUGCAUAACCAGAAAGGACAGAGUGAAUACCUGGAUGAAUCUCUGCAGAAGGCCCAGAAUGCUUUGCAACUAUGUGAUUGUGAGCUAAUCAAACUGAGGGUGGACUCUGACACAGUGAUCAGUCAGCUGUUGGGAUGGCACCAGCUCAGAGAUGAGUUGCAGGGGUACCUCUCCACUACACAGGAUGUAAUGCACAUCAAUCUGCUGUCCUUCAACCAAUCAGAGCUAUGUGUGGAGCUCAGGCCACGCCGUUCCUCCUCCAGUGAGCUGGAGCCGCUGAAACUGUCAGUCAGCUGGAGCCACGAUGACCGUUUCACAGUGCAGGUGAAUGAGGGGAUGGCUGGUGUAGUGGAGGACUGUCUCUCGGGCAGGUGCUCAGAACUCAGCAUGGCCCUGGUGGAGGUGAUGGAGUGUUAUAUGGGUCACACUAAGCUGCUGUGUGAGAUCCAGUUUCUGAGAUCCAGGUGGUUAUUACAUCUUACUUGUUUAAAGACAUAA
This 981-nucleotide long non-coding RNA is filed under the name Betta splendens (Siamese fighting fish). Its description in RNAcentral is "lncRNA (ENSBSLG00000003820.1)". The record is from RNAcentral. Lineage: Eukaryota; Metazoa; Chordata; Actinopteri; Anabantiformes; Osphronemidae.